CGCUGGCGGCAGGCUUAACACAUGCAAGUCGAACGCCCCGCAAGGGGAGUGGCAGACGGGUGAGUAACGCGUGGGAAUCUACCGUACCCUACGGAAUAACGCAUGGAAACGUGUGCUAAUACCGUAUACGCCCUACGGGGGAAAGAUUUAUCGGGGUAUGAUGAGCCCGCGUUGGAUUAGCUAGUUGGUGGGGUAAAGGCCUACCAAGGCGACGAUCCAUAGCUGGUCUGAGAGGAUGAUCAGCCACAUUGGGACUGAGACACGGCCCAAACUCCUACGGGAGGCAGCAGUGGGGAAUAUUGGACAAUGGGCGCAAGCCUGAUCCAGCCGCCGCGGUAAUACAAGCCGAUUUCCCAGCACACUA
RNAcentral lists this ribosomal RNA (364 nucleotides) under uncultured bacterium. RNAcentral's name for it is "bacterial SSU rRNA". It matches the Rfam family "Bacterial small subunit ribosomal RNA", at positions 39 to 400 of the family's 1533-position model. The record is from RNAcentral.